RNAcentral lists this long non-coding RNA (446 nucleotides) under Daucus carota (carrot). RNAcentral describes it as "long non-coding RNA (DCAR_LNC007131)". The record is from RNAcentral. Lineage: Eukaryota; Viridiplantae; Streptophyta; Magnoliopsida; Apiales; Apiaceae.
CUUGCAUUUUCUCUUCUUUCUUUAUUUAUCUACAAUUUCCUGAAAUAAAAUAAAUAAGCGAUUAAUACUACGAAAAUGAACAAAAAAUAGGCACUUAAAUAUGCAAAAAUAUGGACUAAUCAAACUUCCCCAUACCUAUCUUUUGCUCGUCCUCGAGUAAAAUCAAAAGAAAAGAAAAUAAACUUAGAAAACUAGAUGCGAUUCCUAGGCUCCUUUUCGUAGGCGUGACGGGUGAUUUUAGGUUCACCAACCCGUUAAACUCGUAGACGAUCUCUACAAGAGGAGUUUUGUCUCCUAAGGGUUUACAGAAGAUAUACCCAUAAAAUCUUUGAGACAUUCUAGCAAGUGUCUACUCGACUCUACUCUAAUUUCGUUGGUGUUAACAAAAAGCGUUUUUAAGGAAAAUACGACUUAAAGACUCAUCUACUAAUAAUCAAGAUACAGUU